RNAcentral lists this ribosomal RNA (305 nucleotides) under uncultured bacterium. Its description in RNAcentral is "bacterial SSU rRNA". It matches the Rfam family "Bacterial small subunit ribosomal RNA", at positions 338 to 657 of the family's 1533-position model. The record is from RNAcentral.
CCUACGGGGCGCAGCAGUGGGGAAUAUUGGGCAAUGGGCGCAAGCCUGACCCAGCAACGCCGCGUGAAGGAAGAAGGCUUUCGGGUUGUAAACUUCUUUUAUUCGGGACGAAGAAAGUGACGGUACCGAAUGAAUAAGCCACGGCUAACUACGUGCCAGCAGCCGCGGUAAUACGUAGGUGGCAAGCGUUAUCCGGAUUUAUUGGGUGUAAAGGGCGUGUAGGCGGGAAUGCAAGUCAGAUGUGAAAACUCAGGGCUCAACCCUGAGCCUGCAUUUGAAACUGUAUUUCUUGAGUGCUGGAGAGG